Molecule: ribosomal RNA, 390 nt
Filed under: Triticum aestivum (bread wheat)
Lineage: Eukaryota; Viridiplantae; Streptophyta; Magnoliopsida; Poales; Poaceae
Description: partial small subunit ribosomal RNA
Source: RNAcentral
AUGGCGGCGGCCGCACUACGUCCGGCGAUCCUCCGCCACAUCCGGCUCUCCCCCGCCACGGCGGCCCCUCUCGCCGCCGCCGGCCGGCCCCUCGCCCUGGCGCCGUGGCUCGCGCGGCCAAUGUCCUCCCACGACGCCCACCUCACCCGCGACGAGGUCGUCGGCCGCGUCCUCGACGUCCUCAAGUGCCACCCCAAGGUCGACCCCUCCAAGGUGACCCCCGAGGCGCACUUCGAGAAGGAUCUGGGGCUGGACAGCCUGGACACGGUGGAGGUGGUGAUGGCGAUCGAGGAGGAGUUCAAGCUCGAGAUCCCCGACCUGGAGGCUGACAAGAUUAACUCGCUUCCGCUCGCCAUCGAGUACGUCGCCAACCACCCCAUGGCCGGCUGA